CAACUUUCAACAACGGAUCUCUUGGUUCUGGCAUCGAUGAAGAACGCAGCGAAAUGCGAUAAGUAGUGUGAAUCGCAGAAUUCAGUGAAUCAUCGAAUCUUUGAACGCACAUUGCGCCCUUUGGUAUUCCAAAGGGCAUGCCUGUUCGAGCGUCAUU
RNAcentral lists this ribosomal RNA (157 nucleotides) under Alternaria tenuissima. RNAcentral's name for it is "5.8S ribosomal RNA". It matches the Rfam family "5.8S ribosomal RNA". Rfam says of the family: 5.8S ribosomal RNA (5.8S rRNA) is a component of the large subunit of the eukaryotic ribosome. It is transcribed by RNA polymerase I as part of the 45S precursor that also contains 18S and 28S rRNA. The record is from RNAcentral. Lineage: Eukaryota; Fungi; Ascomycota; Dothideomycetes; Pleosporales; Pleosporaceae.